Molecule: long non-coding RNA, 1002 nt
Organism: Cercocebus atys (sooty mangabey)
Lineage: Eukaryota; Metazoa; Chordata; Mammalia; Primates; Cercopithecidae
Exons: 3
Source: RefSeq, a predicted model, not a curated record
GGUCCCAAAACACGUGGUCUAAAGUCCUUUGGGCUCCAGUUGCUGCCAGCACUGACAAUAUGCUCUUGACCCUGGGCGGGGUGGUCUGGAUACUUCCUCUAUGGAAAGCACUGGUCACAAAACCGCAGAGGUGACUCAGGCUGAGAACCCAGGCUCCUCUUUCCCUUGGUGACACGCCCCGCCCCUCGGUCCCUCACUGGCACUUCUCCCUCCGGCCACACGGCGGCGUCUCGCGAGAGUGCAGCGGCCGAUGGUACAGCUCGCUCCCCCCUCGCGCCCUCGGACAGUGGGUCCUUCCACUUCUAGAAAAGGAUUGUGGGACGGCAGGUCGGUCUUUCUUCAUUUUGGUGCGAGCUUGGUGUGGUUUUUGCGCUGGGUCUUCUGGGAUGGCGCUUGGCUGUGGCCGCGUGGUCUCUCACGCCGGGGCGCCGGGCAGGGGAACGCGGCCACCCUGAGUCUGGUGAGUCGACUGCGGCGGCCGGACCGUGUCCGAGGUGUCCGGGGCCGUGAACGCGUGAAGGGUAAGCGGCCUGGUCUCGCGCCUGCGUUCCCAAGCUUGGAAACGGGAAGCUGGUGGAUUUGUGUUUAGAUCAUCGACUAUGCCAGGGAGUUCUCCAGAUAAGCCUGGUUUUAUUUUCGUUAGUGAAAAGGCCUUACCUGACUUUAUGCCUGCCCUGCCCCCGGGUAAAAUAACUUAAAAGCAGAGGGCCUGGUGACGGCUGUUUCCAUAUGCGGUAUUCGGCGGCAGUGAUCACCUAACCUGCAGGUGGAAGAUGGAUGCCUGAAGUGUAGACUGCUGCUAGCUCAAUACCAUCUGGGAGCACAAAGGUGACCAGAAGGAUGUCCUUGGUGAAGAGUUUGAAAAUUUGGUCUUCACAAGAGUUGCUUGGCUCAUUUGAAAUUGCCGGGAGUCUGAGGAUUUCUGACAUAACUGCCUGUUGGAGUCUGUAAAUACACACUUAAGACAGUGAGGAUGUGAAUAAAUAUAUUAAUGCACUUUGA